GGACGCAUAGCUCAGCUGGUUAGAGCGCUUGGUUUACAUCCAAGAGGCCCGAGGUUCGAAUCCUCGUGCGUCCACCA
This 77-nucleotide transfer RNA is filed under the name bacterium. RNAcentral's name for it is "tRNA-Val". It matches the Rfam family "tRNA". From Rfam's summary of the family: Transfer RNA (tRNA) molecules are approximately 80 nucleotides in length. Their secondary structure includes four short double-helical elements and three loops (D, anti-codon, and T loops). The record is from RNAcentral.